GAUUUUUUUUUUUUUUUAAGAGCAAUUGCUUAUAUACCCUGAAAAGUUUCCGAUUUUCUUAUUUAUCUCUCUUAAAAGGCUAAUAUUGAAAAUACUCUUCUUAUGUUCCAAGUUUUUGGAAUAUACCCCUGGAAUUAAGUUCCGUUAAUGAGCUACCGUUAUCUCUGAAAAAUUACCAUUUUGUCCAUUCCAAUAUAUCUUGUACCGUAACUAACUUUUUUUAUAUACCCUUUAUAUAGCAAAUACUUUUCUUAUUUGUCAUUCAAAUAUCAAUCAAUUAAUUAAUUAAGCACGUCGGGAGCGAGCAGAUGAACGGAUGAGAUCGAUCGCAGCUAAACCAACCUUGGUAGCUGUACGACAAAAAAACGGAUUCGGCAAUUAUUCGGAUACGUGAUUUAUACGGAUAUUAUACGUUCACCAAUUAAAAAUUCGGGAUCAAAUAUAAUUUUUAAAAAUUCGGUAUUAUACUAUAUAUAUUAUUAUUAUAAUAUUUAUAUAUAUAUUAAAUAUAUUUAAAAUUAUAAUAAACAUAUACUAAUAAUAUAUAAGAGUUAUAUAUUUAAAAAUAUUAAUAAAUAAUUACAAAUUUAUANAUAAACAUAUACUAAUAAUAUAUAUGAGUUAUAUAUUUAAAAAUAUUAAUAAAUAAUUACAAAUUUAUAAAUAAAAUAUUAUAUAAUAAUAUUUAUAUAUAAAAAUAAAAUAAUAUAUGAAUAAAUAUUUAUAAAUAAAAUUAUAUAUAUAUAUAAUGAGAGGGAGGUCUACCGUGGA
Molecule: long non-coding RNA, 771 nt
Filed under: Ananas comosus (pineapple)
Lineage: Eukaryota; Viridiplantae; Streptophyta; Magnoliopsida; Poales; Bromeliaceae
Description: long non-coding RNA (ACOM_LNC020613)
Source: RNAcentral